RNAcentral lists this ribosomal RNA (185 nucleotides) under Salmonella enterica subsp. enterica serovar Infantis. RNAcentral describes it as "partial 23S ribosomal RNA". It matches the Rfam family "Bacterial large subunit ribosomal RNA", at positions 1 to 177 of the family's 2925-position model. The record is from RNAcentral. RNAcentral also lists the same sequence under 19 other names. Lineage: Bacteria; Pseudomonadati; Pseudomonadota; Gammaproteobacteria; Enterobacterales; Enterobacteriaceae.
GGGUUGUGAGGUUAAGCGACUAAGCGUACACGGUGGAUGCCCUGGCAGUCAGAGGCGAUGAAGGACGUGCUAAUCUGCGAUAAGCGUCGGUAAGGUGAUAUGAACCGUUAUAACCGGCGAUUUCCGAAUGGGGAAACCCAGUGUGAUUCGUCACACUAUCGUUAACUGAAUACAUAGGUUAACGA